CCAACUCAUCAUUGCAUCUUGAAUGCCUGUAACUAGUUGAACAACAACGCACAGGCAGCGCCAGUUCCCUUGCCUCAAACACUGGCUUUUGGACCCGUUUCGUAUCGGUUAUCGCACUGAUUCCAGGGUGUUUCCUCCCUUAACUUCACGAUAGGUUUGGGCAUUUUACUACCACUCAGCCGAACUCUUAGCAGAGUUGUUUCUCUCUCACCUCUUCUUUCUGCCAUAUGAGUGGCCGUACCAUUCCUAUGAUGACCCGACAAGUCGGUCAUUCCUGACGCAAACCUUCUGGCUAUGACUCCCCUGCGAAUGGCAAAACAA
RNAcentral lists this small RNA (321 nucleotides) under Histoplasma capsulatum. RNAcentral describes it as "hypothetical RNA". The record is from RNAcentral. RNAcentral also lists the same sequence under 1 other name. Lineage: Eukaryota; Fungi; Ascomycota; Eurotiomycetes; Onygenales; Ajellomycetaceae.